RNAcentral lists this ribosomal RNA (774 nucleotides) under Aspergillus pseudoglaucus. RNAcentral describes it as "LSU rRNA". The stretch from base 446 to 774 matches the Rfam family "Eukaryotic large subunit ribosomal RNA", at positions 1 to 326 of the family's 3401-position model. Lineage: Eukaryota; Fungi; Ascomycota; Eurotiomycetes; Eurotiales; Aspergillaceae. The record is from RNAcentral.
ACCUCCCAUCCGUGUUCUAUCUGUACCCUGUUGCUUCGGCGAUGGCCACGGCCCGCCGAAGACUAACAUUUGAACACUGUCUGAAGUUUGCAGUCUGAGUUUUUAGUUAAACAAUAAUUAAAACUUUCAACAACGGAUCUCUUGGUUCCGGCAUCGAUGAAGAACGCAGCGAAAUGCGAUAAUUAAUGUGAAUUGCAGAAUUCAGUGAAUCAUCGAGUCUUUGAACGCACAUUGCGCCCCCUGGUAUUCCGGGGGGCAUGCCUGUCCGAGCGUCAUUGCUGCCCUCAAGCACGGCUUGUGUGUUGGGCUUCCGUCCCUGGUAACGGGGACGGGCCCAAAAGGCAGUGGCGGCACCAUGUCUGGUCCUCGAGCGUAUGGGGCUUUGUCACCCGCUCCCGUAGGUCCAGCUGGCAGCUAGCCUCGCAACCAAUCUUUUUAACCAGGUUGACCUCGGAUCAGGUAGGGAUACCCGCUGAACUUAAGCAUAUCAAUAAGCGGAGGAAAAGAAACCAACAGGGAUUGCCUCAGUAACGGCGAGUGAAGCGGCAAGAGCUCAAAUUUGAAAUCUGGCCCCUUCGGGGUCCGAGUUGUAAUUUGUAGAGGAUGCUUCGGGUGCGGCCCCCGUCUAAGUGCUCUGGAACGGGCCAUCGGAGAGGGUGAGAAUCCCGUCUGGGACGGGGUGUCCGCGUCCAUGUGAAGCUCCUUCGACGAGUCGAGUUGUUUGGGAAUGCAGCUCUAAAUGGGUGGUAAAUUUCAUCUAAAGCUAAAUACUGG